GUGCUCACUUCAGCAUCACACAUACUAAAAUUAGAACAAUAUAGAGAAGAUUAGCAUGGCCCCUGUGCAAGGAUGACAUGCAAAUUCAUGAAGUGUUCCAUAUUUUU
Small nuclear RNA from Leptonychotes weddellii (Weddell seal), 107 nucleotides. The record is from RefSeq and is a predicted model, not a curated record. NCBI's taxonomy places the organism in Eukaryota, Metazoa, Chordata, Mammalia, Carnivora, Phocidae.